RNAcentral lists this ribosomal RNA (1607 nucleotides) under Campylobacter jejuni. Its description in RNAcentral is "partial 23S ribosomal RNA". It matches the Rfam family "Bacterial large subunit ribosomal RNA", at positions 1 to 1625 of the family's 2925-position model. The record is from RNAcentral. Lineage: Bacteria; Pseudomonadati; Campylobacterota; Epsilonproteobacteria; Campylobacterales; Campylobacteraceae.
AGGUAAGCUACUAAGAGCGAAUGGUGGAUGCCUUGACUGGUAAAGGCGAUGAAGGACGUACUAGACUGCGAUAAGCUACGGGGAGCUGUCAAGAAGCUUUGAUCCGUAGAUUUCCGAAUGGGGCAACCCAAUGUAUAGAGAUAUACAUUACCUAUAUAGGAGCGAACGAGGGGAAUUGAAACAUCUUAGUACCCUCAGGAAAAGAAAUCAAUAGAGAUUGCGUCAGUAGCGGCGAGCGAAAGCGCAAGAGGGCAAACCCAGUGCUUGCACUGGGGGUUGUAGGACUGCAAUGUGCAAGAGGUAAGUUUAGCAGAACAUUCUGGAAAGUAUAACCAUAGAGGGUGAUAGUCCCGUAUGCGAAAAACAAACCUUAGCUAGCAGUAUCCUGAGUAGGGCGGGACACGAGGAAUCCUGUCUGAAUCUGGGUCGACCACGAUCCAACCCUAAAUACUAAUACCAGAUCGAUAGUGCACAAGUACCGUGAGGGAAAGGUGAAAAGAACUGAGGUGAUCAGAGUGAAAUAGAACCUGAAACCAUUUGCUUACAAUCAUUCAGAGCCCUAUGUAGCAAUACAGGGUGAUGGACUGCCUUUUGCAUAAUGAGCCUGCGAGUUGUGGUGUCUGGCAAGGUUAAGCAAACGCGAAGCCGUAGCGAAAGCGAGUCUGAAUAGGGCGCUUAGUCAGAUGCUGCAGACCCGAAACGAAGUGAUCUAUCCAUGAGCAAGUUGAAGCUAGUGUAAGAACUAGUGGAGGACUGAACCCAUAGGCGUUGAAAAGCCCCGGGAUGACUUGUGGAUAGGGGUGAAAGGCCAAUCAAACUUCGUGAUAGCUGGUUCUCUCCGAAAUAUAUUUAGGUAUAGCGUUGUGUCGUAAUAUAAGGGGGUAGAGCACUGAAUGGGCUAGGGCAUACACCAAUGUACCAAACCCUAUCAAACUCCGAAUACCUUAUAUGUAAUCACAGCAGUCAGGCGGCGAGUGAUAAAAUCCGUCGUCAAGAGGGAAACAACCCAGACUACCAGCUAAGGUCCCUAAAUCUUACUUAAGUGGAAAACGAUGUGAAGUUACUUAAACAACCAGGAGGUUGGCUUAGAAGCAGCCAUCCUUUAAAGAAAGCGUAAUAGCUCACUGGUCUAGUGAUUUUGCGCGGAAAAUAUAACGGGGCUAAAGUAAGUACCGAAGCUGUAGACUUAGUUUACUAAGUGGUAGGAGAGCGUUCUAUUUGCGUCGAAGGUAUACCGGUAAGGAGUGCUGGAGCGAAUAGAAGUGAGCAUGCAGGCAUGAGUAGCGAUAAUUAAUGUGAGAAUCAUUAACGCCGUAAACCCAAGGUUUCCUACGCGAUGCUCGUCAUCGUAGGGUUAGUCGGGUCCUAAGUCGAGUCCGAAAGGGGUAGACGAUGGCAAAUUGGUUAAUAUUCCAAUACCAACAUUAGUGUGCGAUGGAAGGACGCUUAGGGCUAAGGGGGCUAGCGGAUGGAAGUGCUAGUCUAAGGUCGUAGGAGGUUAUACAGGCAAAUCCGUAUAACAAUACUCCGAGAACUGAAAGGCUUUUUGAAGUCUUCGGAUGGAUAGAAGAACCCCUGAUGCCGUCGAGCCAAGAAAAGUUUCUAAG